Molecule: long non-coding RNA, 699 nt
Organism: Schistocerca nitens (vagrant locust)
Lineage: Eukaryota; Metazoa; Arthropoda; Insecta; Orthoptera; Acrididae
Exons: 2
Source: RefSeq, a predicted model, not a curated record
CAGGUUGCAGAGACAAAAGAGAAUUAAUGAGACACUGUUUCUCUUGCAAGGUGAACUAAAUAUGUAAGAGUGACACCCAACACUAAGGCUACCUCCUCACGCCACUAGACACACAAAACUUAAAACAAGAUAGACAUCCCAGAAUAGAGGUGUUUUUGUGUUACUGUAGAAUAUAAACUCGCCUAGCACUCACAAAAUGUGACAACUUCAUCCAGUGGUUGGUGGGAUGCAUGAGCCGCAGUAAAUGCAUUCUAUUCUGCCUGGACCACCGCAGACCAACUAAGAUGCUGUGAUUUAUCACAAUAGUGACACUGCUGGAUGACUGUGUAUGAACACACUACCAACUAUACUGCACAACAAUCACCAGAAUGUUCAACUUACUUGCUGAAGGCCUACUGCACUGAAAAUUGCAACAAAUAUUACACUUAACACCUGAGGCCUGCCAUAAAAACUAAAGGAGUCACACACUUAGUGGACAUGGAAUUCUCAACUUGGUAUAAAGAAAUUUGAGAAAUCGGUGGCUGAAUUCGGACAUGGCUGUACUUUCCUUGAAGAUGGUGCACUUGAAGGAUGUACCGAAAAUGGUAAGCCUUAGUCAUUUGAGAUAGUGAGGCUGCCUAUGUAAAAGUUUUAUUUAAAUUUGUAGUGCAGAUUUGAUGUAUUGAGCUACUAUAAUAAACAGUGUGGGUUUGAUUAUUA